Molecule: RNA transcript, 1307 nt
Organism: Vicugna pacos (alpaca)
Lineage: Eukaryota; Metazoa; Chordata; Mammalia; Artiodactyla; Camelidae
Gene name: keratin, type I cytoskeletal 18 pseudogene
Source: RefSeq, a predicted model, not a curated record
UGAGUCCUGGCCUCCCGCUUUCCUCGUGAAACAGACACCAUGAGCUUCAGCACCCAGUCCAGCUUCUUCAACUACCGGUCCACUGGUUCCAUGUAGUCGUGCUACGCACCAUGACCAGUCAGCAGCAUGGCCAGUGUCUCUGUAGGCGACGGGGGCUGAGAUCGGAUCUCUGUGUCCCGCUCCACCAGCGUACGGGGCGACUGGGGUUCCGUGAACCUGGGCACGCGGAUGGUCGGGUGUGUGGUGGGCGUAGGGGGCAUCCAGGGAGAGAAGGAGACCAUGCAAGACCAAAUGACUGCCUGACCUCCUAUCUAGAGAAGGUGAGGAGCCUGUAGGCUGACAAUCGGAGACUGGAGAUCAAAAUUCGGAAACACCUGGAGAAGAAAGGACCCCAGGUCCGAGACUGGAGGCAUUACUUGAAGACCAUUGAGGACCUGAGGGCUAAGGUCUUUGCAAAUUCUGUGGACAAUGUCCGUCUCACUGCUGAUAACUUCAGAGUCAAGUAUGAGAUGGAGCUCGCUAUGUGCCAGUCUGUGGAGAGUGACAUCCAUGGACUCCACAAGGUCAUUGAUGACACCAAUGUCACUCACCUGCAGCUGGAGACAGAGAUUGAGGCUCUCAAAGAGGAGCUGCUCUUUAUGAAGAAGAAUCAUGAGGAGGAAGUAAAGGGUCUACAAAACCAGAUUGCCAGUUCUGGGCUGACUGUGGAGUUGGAUACCCCCAAGUCUCAGGACCUGAGCAAGAUCAUGGCAGACAUCUGGGCUCAGUAUGAUGAGCUAGCUCGGAAGAACCAAGAGGAGCUGGACAAGUACUGGUCUCAUCAGAUUGAGGAGAGCACCACAGUGGUCACCUCACAGACCGCUGAGAUAGGAGCUGCUGAGAUGACCCUCAAGGAGCUGAGACGGAAUGUGCAGUCCCUAGAGAUUGACCUGGACUCUAUGAGAAACCUAAAGGCCAGCUUGGAGAAUAGCCUGAAGGAGGUGGAGGACCGCUACGCCAUUCAGAUGGAGCAGCUCAGCGGGUUUCUACUGUAUCUGGAGUCGGAGCUGGCCCCAACCCGGGCAGAGAGGCAAUGCCAGAACCAGGAGUACGAGGCCCUGCUGAACAUCAAGGUCAAGCUGGAGGCUGAGAUCAACACCUACCACCGCCUGCUGAAAGAUGGGGAGGACUUCAAUCUUAGUGACGCCGUGGACAGCAGCAAUUCCAGGCAAACCAUCCAGAAGACCACCACCCUCAGGCUUGUGGAUGGCAGUUCUGAAGUUCUGAAGUAUUAAGAAGGCAGAAUUGAUGCCCUUUGGGAAGUGAGA